Long non-coding RNA from Xenia sp. Carnegie-2017, 434 nucleotides. RefSeq lists it as uncharacterized. The record is from RefSeq and is a predicted model, not a curated record. Lineage: Eukaryota; Metazoa; Cnidaria; Anthozoa; Malacalcyonacea; Xeniidae. The transcript has 2 exons.
AUGUUUUUACUUGGAAUGUCAGAUUCCAUCCGUUGAAUAAUAUGAGAAACAACAUACUUUGGUCUAUUGUGCAGGAACUUUGGGAUUUGUUUGCUGUAGGACUUGUAUGAAUCGGAUGAUUUGAUAUUCUGUUCCUUAUAUCUAUAAAGAGAAAAUUGUUUCCACAGUGGAUUCUCUUGACUGAUGAUGUUCAGGACUUCUGAUAUGGAAUCCAUGUCCUCAUUUUGGGAUAUGAAGACAGCAACAACGAUGUAACAAACAUUUGAUCGGACACAUAAGAAAAACAACGGUAGUGCAUACCUCAAAAGAUGCAAAUUGGAAAACUUUAUAACAUUAACUUUCCAAGUGACAAGAAAAUAAGGUAUUUUGUAUUACCUACAUGUGCGAUAAGUGGCAUCCAUUAAACACAUUUCGUUCCCAUAACGCAAUAAUAA